AGAGACAGGGUUUCACCGUGUUAUCCAGAAUGGUCUCGAUCUCCUGACCUCGUGAUCCGCCUGCCUCGGCCUCCCAAAGUGCUGGGAUUACAGGCGUGAGCCACCGCGCCCAGCCUAGGAGCUUUUCUUUUUAAAGUCCAAUGACUGAAAAGAGUUUACCAAAAUGGCCUGGUGUCAUCCAGCUUCAUGAUGUGAAUGUCUUUAGAUCUACUACUCUAAGGAGCUGCCCAGAUGCUCUAUGUCCCCUGAGGAUUCUUCUAAUCGUUCUGUGGAAUGUGGAGAUGUCUGUGUAUUACGUGACUAUCUGAAAAUCAGUGAUUUCAGAAUGGUGACUCACAGAUCUGGGAUCGGGGAAAAGGAAAAAAUUGUGAAAAACUAAACAGACGUCACCUUUUUCAUGUUUUUGAGCUUGACUGGAAUCAAGAUUUCACAUGGCACUUUGAGGACAGGAUUAUUAAUAGCCUUUGUGUCAGCCUGAUGGUAAAGCUUUCUCUUUGAAUCCUU
RNAcentral lists this long non-coding RNA (504 nucleotides) under Pongo abelii (Sumatran orangutan). RNAcentral's name for it is "lincRNA". Lineage: Eukaryota; Metazoa; Chordata; Mammalia; Primates; Hominidae. The record is from RNAcentral.